Molecule: ribosomal RNA, 602 nt
Filed under: Enterobacteriaceae bacterium
Lineage: Bacteria; Pseudomonadati; Pseudomonadota; Gammaproteobacteria; Enterobacterales; Enterobacteriaceae
Description: bacterial SSU rRNA
Rfam family: Bacterial small subunit ribosomal RNA
Source: RNAcentral
CUUGCUCUCUUCUGACAAGCGGGGACGGGUGAGUAUUGUGUGGGAAACUGCCUGAGGGAGAGGGAUAUCUACUGUGAACGCUAGCUAAUACCGCAUAACGUCGCAAGACACAAGUGAGGGACCUUCUGGCCUCUUGUCAUCACAUGUGCCCACAUGGGAUUAUCUAUUAUGUGGGGUAACGGCUCACCUAUGCGACAAUCCCUAUCUGGGCUGAGAGAAUGACCCCCCACACUGUAACUGAGACACGGUCCACACUCCUACGGGAGGCAGCAGUGGGGAAUAUUGCGCAAUGGGCGCAAGCCUGAUGCGCCCAUGCCCCGUGUGUGAAAAAAGCCUUCUCGUUGUAAAGCACUUUCUCCGGGGAGAAAAGCGGUGAAGUUAAUAACCUUGUCGAUUGACAUUACCCCCACAAAAAACACCGGCUAACUCCCUGCCACCACCCGCGGUAAUACAGAGGGUGCGAGCGUUAAUCUCAAUUACUGUGCGUAUAGCGCACACACGCGGUCUGUCAAGUCUGAUGUGAAAUCCCCGCGCUCACCCUGUGAACUGCGUUCCAGACUGGGAGGCUAUAGUCUUGCAGAGGGGGGUAGAAAUUCAUGUGU